Herpailurus yagouaroundi (jaguarundi) is the source of this 908-nucleotide long non-coding RNA. RefSeq lists it as uncharacterized. The transcript has 4 exons. NCBI's taxonomy places the organism in Eukaryota, Metazoa, Chordata, Mammalia, Carnivora, Felidae. The record is from RefSeq and is a predicted model, not a curated record.
GGGAUUUUCUCUCAUCAGUAUUUUUUUUUUUUCAUUUUCAGUUUUAAAUUGUCACUUUGUUGGGAACAAUUUUCAUAGAGUGAUCAGAAGUGAAGAUAAACAUAACCACGAUAUCACCACUUAAUCAGAUCAGUCCUUGCGGGAGGGCGGGGGAGGGGGCUCCGUGUUAGGCUUCUGCCCAUUUGAUCUCAGACCCAGGCAGCCCUCUCCGCCCUCCCCCGAAUCACGAGGAACUACAUCUCCCAGGCUCCCUUGCAGUCCGCUUCCUGGUAGGUUGGGCCAGUUGCAGACCCUGACAGAAGGUCAGAAAGUGGAGGAAGGAAGAGGCCGCAGCAUCUGUCUCCCUCCGCUUUGGGAAGCAUCUCCGCUGUAUCUUCGAGUGUCCAGCCCCUCGGAAGUUCCCGUUUCCGCUGGGUGGUCCUGGAUCCUGGACUCUGGUGCAGCCUAAUUCCCCUCUCCUGGACCAGGAGGCAGAACUGGCUUUGUGACUCACCUCUGUCUAGGAGAAUGUGGCAAAUGUGACAAUGUGUGACUUCUGAUGCUAAGUCAUAAAAGUAAUCUCUACACCCAACAUGGUGGGGCUCCAACUUACAACCCCAAGAUCAAGACUCACGUGCUCUACGGACUGAGCCAGCCAGGUGCUCCUAGAAAUGUAAUUCUUAGCCCUGUCGCUCAUUAAGAGGCACGCUGUCCCCAAACCACCGCAAGAUGGCCACCAGCAGCCUCAGGCUUCCAGCCGAGUUUUGCAUCAACCACAUGGGAAGAACAAUGAACCAAAUGAAAAAUUACCUUUUCUCAGAGGUCCAGGAGGAACACCUGGGUGGCUCGGUCGGUUAAGCGUCCGACUUCGGCUCGGGUCAUGAUCUCACGGUUCGUGGGUUCGAGCCCCGCGUCGGGCUCUGGGCUGA